CGAGGACAAACCCUGAGCUCAUAGAGUUUACAUUCCAACACAAGAGAAUAACUAGCAAACAAACAAGAGUGAAGAAACCAGUCCAUAGAAGGAUGUCUUGACAACUAAUGGAAGAGCCAAGAGGAGAUUCCAAAUUACUGAGAGGUCUUUCCCAACAUGUUUCUGGGUCUGAGAGCCAUGUUCUUGAAAAACACGUCUAUAUAAUAAAUAGGAAUGGACCUCACGUGACAAACAUUCCCAGAUGUGAACCAACCGCAGAAGUAGCUCACCUG
This is a long non-coding RNA of Chinchilla lanigera (long-tailed chinchilla), 272 nucleotides long. RefSeq lists it as uncharacterized. Lineage: Eukaryota; Metazoa; Chordata; Mammalia; Rodentia; Chinchillidae. The transcript is spliced from 3 exons. The record is from RefSeq and is a predicted model, not a curated record.